This 45-nucleotide non-coding RNA is filed under the name Schistosoma mansoni. The record is from RNAcentral. Lineage: Eukaryota; Metazoa; Platyhelminthes; Trematoda; Strigeidida; Schistosomatidae.
AUCCAGACGACGAAUCCCGAAUAGGAUGAAACACGCGUCCUGAAU